RNAcentral lists this long non-coding RNA (284 nucleotides) under Elaeis guineensis (African oil palm). Its description in RNAcentral is "long non-coding RNA (EGUI_LNC020500)". Lineage: Eukaryota; Viridiplantae; Streptophyta; Magnoliopsida; Arecales; Arecaceae. The record is from RNAcentral.
CCUUCUCUUCUUCUUUAUGUUGCUGCCAUGGUUUGUAUCACUAUCAUGGGUCAACUCGUUAGCAGGUAAGAUUAAUCAUCUUUUGUAUUUAUUUGGGCUGCUUUCAAUUAAAAGUUAAUAAGCAGAUAUGGUGUAAUUGAUUCCUAUUAUAAAUUAGUUAGUACAUAAUGGGAUGAAUAGUUGGAUAAUGAAAAUAGAAAUUAAAAAAUAUGGUAAUUGAUAAAUUUUGGAAAAAAGAUGUUUUGUUGUGUGACCGGAUUGGUUCUGUCUUGUUGUAAUCCAUA